CCUCGAAUCAGGUGGGACUACCCGCUGAACUUAAGCAUAUCAAUAAGCGGAGGAAAAGAAACUAACAAGGAUUCCCCUAGUAACGGCGAGUGAAGCGGGAUGAGCUCAAAUUUAAAAUCUGAUAGUCUUUGGCUGUCCGAGUUGUAAUCUAGAGAAGUGUUUUCCGCGUUGGACCAUGUACAAGUUUCCUGGAACGGAACGUCAUAGAGGGUGAGAAUCCCGUCCUUGACAUGGACUACCAGUGCUUUGUGAUACACUCUCAACGAGUCGAGUUGUUUGGGAUUGCAGCUCAAAAUGGGAGGUAAAUUCCUUCUAAAGCUAAAUAUUGGCGAGAGACCGAUAGCGAACAAGUACCGUGAGGGAAAGAUGAAAAGCACUUUGGAAAGAGAGUUAAACAGUACGUGAAAUUGUUAAAAGGGAAACGAUUGAAGUCAGUCGCGUUUACUUGGACUCAGCCUUACCUCGGUUUGGUGCAUUUCCUUGUGAACGGGCCAGCGUCAAUGUUGUCCGUUGGAAAAGGGUUGGAGAAAUGUGGCUCUUUCGGGAGUGUUAUAGUCUCUGAUCGUAUACAACGGCUGAUAUUGAGUGGUACAGCAUGCUUCGGCGGUGCUUGUGCUGGCAUAAU
RNAcentral lists this ribosomal RNA (625 nucleotides) under uncultured Basidiomycota. Its description in RNAcentral is "LSU rRNA". It matches the Rfam family "Eukaryotic large subunit ribosomal RNA", at positions 1 to 635 of the family's 3401-position model. Lineage: Eukaryota; Fungi; Basidiomycota. The record is from RNAcentral.